RNAcentral lists this non-coding RNA (31 nucleotides) under Mus musculus (house mouse). The record is from RNAcentral. Lineage: Eukaryota; Metazoa; Chordata; Mammalia; Rodentia; Muridae.
UAAGUAGUUUAGUGUCUGAAUGGAUGGAAUU